Molecule: ribosomal RNA, 228 nt
Filed under: Triticum aestivum (bread wheat)
Lineage: Eukaryota; Viridiplantae; Streptophyta; Magnoliopsida; Poales; Poaceae
Description: partial small subunit ribosomal RNA
Source: RNAcentral
AUGUCCACCUCCACCGCACCCAUCCAAUCCAACCUCAACUACAACACCACUGAGCCACUUACUCGAACGAAUUAUGUCCUUUGGAAAGCCCAAGCAAGAUCCCAAAUAAUGGGCGUCGGCUUGUACAACUACAUCGACAACACCAUUGAGGAGCCUCGCAAGAUCAUCACCACCAAAGACAAAGACGGCAAGGACCAGGUCAUCCCCAACCAUGCCUAUGCACCCUAG